This 497-nucleotide ribosomal RNA is filed under the name uncultured bacterium. RNAcentral describes it as "partial 16S ribosomal RNA". It matches the Rfam family "Bacterial small subunit ribosomal RNA", at positions 28 to 507 of the family's 1533-position model. The record is from RNAcentral.
GAUGAACGCUGGCGGCGUGCCUAAUACAUGCAAGUCGAGCGAACGGACGAGAAGCUUGCUUCUCUGAUGUUAGCGGCGGACGGGUGAGUAACACGUGGAUAACCUAUCUAUAAGACUGGGAUAACUUCGGGAAACCGGCGCUAAUACCGGAUAAUAUUUUGAACCGCAUGGUUCAAAAGUGAAAGACGGUCUUGCUGUCACUUAUAGAUGGAUCCGCGCUGCAUUAGCUAGUUGGUAAGGUAACGGCUUACCAAGGCAACGAUGCAUAGCCGACCUGAGAGGGUGAUCGGCCACACUGGAACUGAGACACGGUCCAGACUCCUACGGGAGGCAGCAGUAGGGAAUCUUCCGCAAUGGGCGAAAGCCUGACGGAGCAACGCCGCGUGAGUGAUGAAGGUCUUCGGAUCGUAAAACUCUGUUAUUAGGGAAGAACAUAUGUGUAAGUAACUGUGCACAUCUUGACGGUACCUAAUCAGAAAGCCACGGCUAACUACGUG